CCAACAGGGAUUGCCUUAGUAACGGCGAGUGAAGCGGCAAAAGCUCAAAUUUGAAAUCUGACACCUUUGGUGUUCGAGUUGUAAUUUGGAGAGGCAUCUUCUGGAGGGGGUCGGUCUAUGUUAUGUGCCUUGGAACAGGACAUCAUAGAGGGUGAGAAUCCCGUUCGUGGCCGGCUCUUCCCUUCUGUAAGAAGUGUCUUCUACGAGUCGAGUUGUUUGGGAAUGCAGCUCAAAAUGGGUGGUAAAUUUCAUCUAAAGCUAAAUAUUGGCGAGAGACCGAUAGCGCACAAGUAGAGUGAUCGAAAGAUGAAAAGCACUUUGAAAAUAGAGUCAAACAGUACGUGAAAUUGUUGAAGGGGAAGCGCUUAGGACCAGACCUGGCCUUUGGUGAACAAUCGCCCACCGGGGCGGUGUACUUUGUCAUUGGUCGGGCCAGCAUGGGUUGGGACGGUGGGAUAAAGACUCGGGAAAUGUGACUCCUUUAUGGAGUGUUAUAGUCCUGGGUGGCAU
RNAcentral lists this ribosomal RNA (510 nucleotides) under Tuber scruposum. RNAcentral's name for it is "eukaryotic LSU rRNA". It matches the Rfam family "Eukaryotic large subunit ribosomal RNA", at positions 65 to 573 of the family's 3401-position model. The record is from RNAcentral. Lineage: Eukaryota; Fungi; Ascomycota; Pezizomycetes; Pezizales; Tuberaceae.